Long non-coding RNA from Boleophthalmus pectinirostris (great blue-spotted mudskipper), 815 nucleotides. RefSeq lists it as uncharacterized. The transcript is spliced from 3 exons. The record is from RefSeq and is a predicted model, not a curated record. NCBI's taxonomy places the organism in Eukaryota, Metazoa, Chordata, Actinopteri, Gobiiformes, Gobiidae.
UUAGCACCAAAUUUGGGGAUUAAAUUCUACGCAUGAUUAUAAGCAAAAAAGUCAAUAAUUGUGCACCUCUAUGACGAACAGGAAGUCGGCCAUAUUGGAUAAAAAAUUCGGCGCCGUUUUGACUUGGGGGUCUACAAAAAGAUUCAGGUUCCUGGGGUUUGGUCCAAAUGAGCUCAGAUUUCACAUGUCACACCUACAGACAUGAACUCACAGAAGUUGCCCAUUUUUUUUCGGAUACUCCUUACGGUUCGCCCGUAGCACGCCGGCGAAUAACGCCUUCAUUUCCUGUUUUUUCGGUGGCCUGUCACGGCCACAGGCAUUGUCCGAGAGAACUCAAAUUCAAAUCACAAUUGUGUGAUCCAGGCCUGAAUGUGAUGAAAUAUGAAAUUUAAUAAAAGUGAACUCUAUAGCGCCCCCUAGCAUAGACGUGAAACGUCAACAUUGUUGGAUUUGUACCAAACUCGGGGAUUAAAUUCUAUGUUUAGCGGGUGGUACCACGGGGUGUCGCUGCUGGGCCACAGCCAGGUAGAAUUUAAGAGGAAGUUGGCUGUGUGCCCAGGAGGUGUCAGUUUCCGUGGGUGGCCCAUGGAUCUAUUAAAAUAACAGGUAGACAGCUGGACCCACAUGUGCGUGCGUUUGGCGACGAUACUGGGUGGCCACGCUGUUUUUAAAAAGAAACCUGGGGCGGUGCUAUGGGGAGCUGUGUGGGGAGUGCGACGCAGUUAACUACUGUCCCUGUUGUCCUUUGGUUGUUUGUGUUUUGUCCCGGUCACUUCCUUUUUCUCGAGUUUGUUAAAUAAAUCACAUAAAUUGCA